Long non-coding RNA from Lolium perenne, 1483 nucleotides. RefSeq lists it as uncharacterized. NCBI's taxonomy places the organism in Eukaryota, Viridiplantae, Streptophyta, Magnoliopsida, Poales, Poaceae. The record is from RefSeq and is a predicted model, not a curated record.
UGCUUGCCUCCAAGCAACUCGCCACUACGGCUCGGCGCAAAUCUAGCACCCGCAGAAAUCGAGUCUGCCAUCAAGGAUUGACAAGGCGUGGCGACUGAGCAGGUAUUGACUGAGCAUGGCGACUGAAGAUGGAUGAACUCGACUGAGAUGAAGAUGACCUUAGCCUGGAGCUAUGGCGCACGAUUACUGGGAAGGAUUCAUGCGUGAUUACUGGGAAGGAUUACAUACCAUGCGUCAUGGGUGUUUCCUGAUUCAUACCAUGCGUCAUGGGUGUUUCCUGAUUCAUGGGUCGUUCUUGGUUUAUUUCCAUGCGAGAUUUCCUAAUUCAUCGGUCGUUCUUGAUUUAUUUCCUAUUUAGAUUCCAUUCAUGCGUGAUUUAUAUUUCCUGGCGAGAUUUCCUGGCGAGAUUUUCCUGCCGAGAUUACAUACCUGACGAGAUUGCAUACCUAGCGUGAUUUAUAUUUCCUGGCGAGAUUACAUUUGGCCCAUGUUAACGCUUGGCCCAGGCGGGUGGGCAACGAAGGACGACGACGACCAAUUACGACCAAACUUUCUCUAAGUAUUUUAGAGUACUCUGAAUUUUAAAAACAUGCAUGUGCCUUUUAAAAACAUGAGAUAUCAGACAUGGGAAAAGUUAUUGAGCUCUGAUGUGAGAGUCUAUAAAAUUUGCACCACCAAAAUAUUUGUGCAUCUGUGCAAAAUUGUUGAAAAGUGAUAUUCAGUUGUUGCCUUCUAACACUUAACUAUUUGUUUGGCAGGUUCAGUCAUUUUUUACAUCACUGGGAGCAUUGUCUCGUAAACAAUUUCAUGAUGGCUCAUAUGAAAUGACUGAGCAGGCAAAUGCUAAAUGAUAACCACUCACUCAAUGAUAACCAAACACCAGCAUGAAGAUGAAGGAUAAGAAGAGGCGAUGUCUUCGACUGGUUGGAGAGCCAACCUGUGCGUCAAAGAAGAGGCGGCAGACCAAUGAGGCAGAUCAAGGGGCGUCGGCGAGCCGGCAGACCUCGGGGCGUCGGUGUUGGAAACCAGUGUUAUCACGGGGCAUCGGCGAGGCGGCAGACCUCGGGGCGUCGGUGUUGGCAACCAGUGUUUGCCAAGAAGGCAGACAUCGGAGAAGAGACGGCAGACCACUGGGCGGCGAGGUGGUUGCCGUACGGAAGGCAUCGGAGAAGAGAUGGCAGCGUAAGAGUGAGAAGAGACGGCAGCGUGAGGGGAGAGAUGAUUUCCUAUUCCGCCCAGCUGAUUCAUAGGGAUACGGCUGGGCUGAUUGGUUUCCUUGUACGUCUGCGCUGAUUGGUUUCCUUGUAUGUCUAGGCUGAUUUUUUUCCUUGUAUGUCUCGGCUGAUAGCUGAUUGUCUGCGCUGAUGCAUGCUGGAUUGCGCUGAUUUUUUUCCUUGUACGUCUGGGGACGGAGGGACGACGAAAACGACCAAACGUAUUGGGCUAUUGGCAGAAUAAGGAACCAAUUGAGUCUUUUUAAGUA